AAAGGUAAGCUACUAAGAGCGAAUGGUGGAUGCCUUGACUGGUAAAGGCGAUGAAGGACGUACUAGACUGCGAUAAGCUACGGGGAGCUGUCAAGAAGCUUUGAUCCGUAGAUUUCCGAAUGGGGCAACCCAAUGUAUAGAGAUAUACAUUACCUAUAUAGGAGCGAACGAGGGGAAUUGAAACAUCUUAGUACCCUCAGGAAAAGAAAUCAAUAGAGAUUGCGUCAGUAGCGGCGAGCGAAAGCGCAAGAGGGCAAACCCAGUGCUUGCACUGGGGGUUGUAGGACUGCAAUGUGCAAGAGCUGA
Molecule: ribosomal RNA, 306 nt
Filed under: Campylobacter jejuni
Lineage: Bacteria; Pseudomonadati; Campylobacterota; Epsilonproteobacteria; Campylobacterales; Campylobacteraceae
Description: partial 23S ribosomal RNA
Rfam family: Bacterial large subunit ribosomal RNA
Source: RNAcentral